Molecule: long non-coding RNA, 680 nt
Organism: Triticum dicoccoides
Lineage: Eukaryota; Viridiplantae; Streptophyta; Magnoliopsida; Poales; Poaceae
Exons: 3
Source: RefSeq, a predicted model, not a curated record
UCGUCCGUCCAUCCGUUCUCAGAGCAGAGCAGAGCAGAGACCUCGGCCGCCGCCCUUUUCUUCUUCUCCGCAAACCCAGCGACAGCGAGCCACCCAUAAUCCUCCUCCUCCGGUAAGGAGGAUAUACUCUGGCGCCCGGGUCAGUAGCGCGCCGGAUCUUUAAAUUUCCGCGGGAGGAUUGAUGUUCUGCACGCCCACCUCUAUCUGUCCACGCCGGAUUCGACUCCGUUUACCACUAUCUGUCUAACGCGGAGGUGAAUUUGAAUUUCAGGACCAGUCCGCCUUGCUCUGGCUGGCGCCAGACCUUCCUUCUUCUUCUCCUUCUCUUCAAUCUUCAUGCGAGUAGUGCUGUUUAUCAUUUUAUUUAUACCACCGGAUCAAUAGCCAACUCGGUUUUGCUCCGGUGUACGGAUAACUUAUCUUUUUUUUUCUUGGAACAAUAAUAAGAGUAUAGUAAUCCGGUGCAGCGCUAAGUUAUUAUAAAUAGUGGCAGAGUAAGGACGAGGAUUGGCCUGUAAUAAUCAUUCAAGCCUCCACGCUCGCCUCAAAGAUUUCGUUCAAAGCCUCGUCGGGUUUCAGGGGCCUCACACUCCAUGGAGGCCAUAAAUAACGGUUUCAGCGACAGUUCCCGCAGCCAAGGAUGCUCAUCUCGAUUUUGGUGAAACUGCACAAAAUGAUCC